Molecule: ribosomal RNA, 758 nt
Filed under: uncultured Enterobacteriaceae bacterium
Lineage: Bacteria; Pseudomonadati; Pseudomonadota; Gammaproteobacteria; Enterobacterales; Enterobacteriaceae
Description: bacterial SSU rRNA
Rfam family: Bacterial small subunit ribosomal RNA
Source: RNAcentral
AUUGAACGCUGGCGGCAGGCCUAACACAUGCAAGUCGAGCGGCAGCGGAAAGUAGCUUGCUACUUUGCCGGCGAGCGGCGGACGGGUGAGUAAUGUCUGGGAAACUGCCUGAUGGAGGGGGAUAACUACUGGAAACGGUAGCUAAUACCGCAUGACCUCGAAAGAGCAAAGUGGGGGAUCUUCGGACCUCACGCCAUCGGAUGUGCCCAGAUGGGAUUAGCUAGUAGGUGAGGUAAUGGCUCACCUAGGCGACGAUCCCUAGCUGGUCUGAGAGGAUGACCAGCCACACUGGAACUGAGACACGGUCCAGACUCCUACGGGAGGCAGCAGUGGGGAAUAUUGCACAAUGGGCGCAAGCCUGAUGCAGCCAUGCCGCGUGUGUGAAGAAGGCCUUAGGGUUGUAAAGCACUUUCAGCGAGGAGGAAGGCACCAUACUUAAUACGUGUGGUGAUUGACGUUACUCGCAGAAGAAGCACCGGCUAACUCCGUGCCAGCAGCCGCGGUAAUACGGAGGGUGCAAGCGUUAAUCGGAAUUACUGGGCGUAAAGCGCACGCAGGCGGUUUGUUAAGUCAGAUGUGAAAUCCCCGCGCUUAACGUGGGAACUGCAUUUGAAACUGGCAAGCUAGAGUCUUGUAGAGGGGGGUAGAAUUCCAGGUGUAGCGGUGAAAUGCGUAGAGAUCUGGAGGAAUACCGGUGGCGAAGGCGGCCCCCUGGACAAAGACUGACGCUCAGUGCGAAAGCGUGGGGAGCAAACAGG